GCCCAGCUCGCGGGGCGGGGCGGGGCCUGGCGCGCGGCGGCGGCCGGGGCGUUGGGCGGGGGAGACGCCGGGGCGGCCGGGGCGCGCGGCCGCCGACCUGCAGCGCCAGCGGCACCGCCGCCCCCAGCCCGCCCGCCGAGCCCGCCCUCCCGGUGAGCACCCGCCGCCGCGGGGGGAGGGCGCGCAGCCGAGGGGCCGCCGGGGCGCGGGGCGGGGGCAGCGGGCUGGUUGCGGCGAGGCGCGGAGCCGGGCCCGCCGACGGGGAGCGGGGAGCGUGUGCCGAGCGGGGGCCGAGCGGCGGGGCCGGCAGCCGGAAGGUGUCGGCCGCGCUCCCCCGGGUGGCCCCCGCGGGGAGCGAGGGGAGCCCUGCCCGGCUGCGGCCCCGCACGGAGCUGGCGGUGCUCGGGGCUGCGGCGAGAGCCCUUCCCUGCCCGGCCGCCUCCCUUACAUAAUGUCACCUGUGGUACCUGCGGCUCCCUCGUGUCACAGCGGCGGGUGGUCGGUGGUGACGGCAGAGCUGGGCUUUCUCUGAGUUCUAGGUGUGUGAAUCAACCUAUGCUCACUGACUCAUCAGUGUAAUCUUGCUAAUUUGACAACUGUUGUAUGCCAGCCUGUGUCAAUACCAGACCAAGGUGCUCCUGAUCAACCAGAUCUUUCAGAAAUUUUUUAAAAAGAAACCUUGGUGGGUAAAAGAUGUGCCAUGGAAUGGUAGCAUCAAAGAGCAACACAGGAUCAUCUCUUGCCUUGACUGGCCAUGGGUUGUUUCGUCUGCUAGUUAUCUUUGGUUCCUUUGUCUUGGAAGCACAGUCCACAGGUUGGCUAAGCAAAUCCAAAGGACCUUCAUGCUGGUUUGUGUGUACAAGGGAAGAGAGGAAAAACAAGGAUGUUGCCCCUCUGGAUUUGACACUGACAGCAAAGCUGACUAGUCAUCUUUCUCCAUCACCUCCCUCUCUGCAGAAAGCUCCUGGAGCCAAACACCAGUCGUGUCUCAGGCAGAAGGAAAUCUUGUGUGACUGAAGGCCCUGGUUUCAGAAGAAAAAUUCCGUACUGAAAAAGAAGCUUGCAGAUUUUUUUUUGUUUAGCAGUCACCGUGUUUUUCCCCUGUUCCCCUAGAGAACGACACAGCAGGAGAUUUGGGUUAGAGGGACAUGACAAGUAGCUGUAUGUUCUUUGAAUAAACUAGGUGUAUAUAUGCUUUUUAAUCUCUUUUUCUUCUCAAGGCAGGAAACCACCUUUAGCCUAGACUCUGCAGAGCAUAGG
Molecule: long non-coding RNA, 1260 nt
Filed under: Cyanoderma ruficeps (rufous-capped babbler)
Lineage: Eukaryota; Metazoa; Chordata; Aves; Passeriformes; Timaliidae
Description: lncRNA (ENSCRFG00000008854.1)
Source: RNAcentral